Molecule: non-coding RNA, 70 nt
Organism: Dipodomys ordii (Ord's kangaroo rat)
Lineage: Eukaryota; Metazoa; Chordata; Mammalia; Rodentia; Heteromyidae
Source: Rfam
GGGAAGGUGGCUCAGUGGUAAAGUGCUUGCCUUUCAUGCAUGAGGCCCUAGGUUCGAUUCCUCAGUACCA